RNAcentral lists this ribosomal RNA (492 nucleotides) under uncultured Clostridium sp. RNAcentral describes it as "bacterial SSU rRNA". It matches the Rfam family "Bacterial small subunit ribosomal RNA", at positions 380 to 888 of the family's 1533-position model. Lineage: Bacteria; Bacillati; Bacillota; Clostridia; Eubacteriales; Clostridiaceae. The record is from RNAcentral.
AGCCUGAUGCAGCAACGCCGCGUGAGUGAUGAAGGUCUUCGGAUUGUAAAGCUCUGUCUUUUGGGACGAUAAUGACGGUACCAAAGGAGGAAGCCACGGCUAACUACGUGCCAGCAGCCGCGGUAAUACGUAGGUGGCGAGCGUUGUCCGGAUUUACUGGGCGUAAAGGGUGCGUAGGCGGAUGUUUAAGUGAGAUGUGAAAUACCCGGGCUUAACUUGGGUGCUGCAUUUCAAACUGGAUAUCUAGAGUGCAGGAGAGGAGAAUGGAAUUCCUAGUGUAGCGGUGAAAUGCGUAGAGAUUAGGAAGAACACCAGUGGCGAAGGCGAUUCUCUGGACUGUAACUGACGCUGAGGCACGAAAGCGUGGGUAGCAAACAGGAUUAGAUACCCUGGUAGUCCACGCCGUAAACGAUGAGUACUAGGUGUAGGAGGUAUCGACCCCUUCUGUGCCGCAGUAAACACAUUAAGUACUCCGCCUGGGAAGUACGAUCG